AGUGAACGCUGGCGGUAGGCCUAACACAUUCAAGUCGAACGGCAGCACAGUAAGAGCUUGCUCUUACGGGUGGCGAGUGGCGGACGGGUGAGGAAUACAUCGGAAUCUACUUUUUCGUGGGGGAUAACGUAGGGAAACUUACGCUAAUACCGCAUACGACCUACGGGUGAAAGCAGGGGAUCUUCGGACCUUGCGCGAUUGAAUGAGCCGAUGUCGGAUUAGCUAGUUGGCGGGGUAAAGGCCCACCAAGGCGACGAUCCGUAGCUGGUCUGAGAGGAUGAUCAGCCACACUGGAACUGAGAAAGGGUCCCGACUCCUACGGGGAGACGCAGUGGGGAAUAUUGGGAAAUGGGGGGGAGCCGGAUCCAGCCAUACCGCGUGGGUGAAGAAGGCCUUCGGGUUGUAAAGCCCUUUUGUUGGGAAAGAAAAGCAGCAGGUUAAUACCCCGCUGUUCUGACGGUACCCAAAGAAUAAGCACCGGCUAACUUCGUG
RNAcentral lists this ribosomal RNA (492 nucleotides) under uncultured bacterium. RNAcentral's name for it is "partial 16S ribosomal RNA". It matches the Rfam family "Bacterial small subunit ribosomal RNA", at positions 29 to 507 of the family's 1533-position model. The record is from RNAcentral.